This 113-nucleotide ribosomal RNA is filed under the name Caerostris extrusa. The record is from RNAcentral. Lineage: Eukaryota; Metazoa; Arthropoda; Arachnida; Araneae; Araneidae.
AACGGCCAUACCAUGCUGAAUAUACCGGUUCUCGUUAGAUCACCGAAGUCAAGCAUUAUUGGCCGCGGUCAGUACUUGGGAUGGGUAACCAUCUGGGAACACCGCGGGUCGUU